CAGAGUUGCAAAACUCCAAACCAUUGUGAACUUACCUUCGCCGUUGCUUCGGCGGGCGGCCCGGGCCCUGCCCGGCGCCCCUCGGCCCCUCUCGGGGCGCCCGCCGGAGGUAAACCAAACUCUGAUUUUAUUGUGAAUCUCUGAGGGGCGAAAGCCCGAAAACAAAAUGAAUCA
Molecule: unclassified non-coding RNA, 174 nt
Filed under: uncultured Chaetomiaceae
Lineage: Eukaryota; Fungi; Ascomycota; Sordariomycetes; Sordariales
Description: sequence contains ITS1
Source: RNAcentral